AUUGAACGCUGGCGGCAUGCCUUACACAUGCAAGUCGAACGGCAGCACGGGAGCAAUCCUGGUGGCGAGUGGCGAACGGGUGAGUAAUAUAUCGGAACGUGCCCAGUCGUGGGGGAUAACGUAGCGAAAGCUACGCUAAUACCGCACACGAUCUAUGGAUGAAAGCGGGGGAUCGCAAGACCUCGCGCGAUUGGAGCGGCCGAUAUCAGAUUAGGUAGUUGGUGAGGUAAAGGCUCACCAAGCCGACGAUCUGUAGCUGGUCUGAGAGGACGACCAGCCACACUGGGACUGAGACACGGCCCAGACUCCUACGGGAGGCAGCAGUGGGAAUUUUGGACAAUGGGCGCAAGCCUGAUCCAGCAAUGCCGCGUGCAGGAUGAAGGCCUUCGGGUUGUAAACUGCUUUGUACGGAACGAAACGGUGAGCUCUAAUACAGUUUGCUAAUGACGGUACCGUAAGAAUAAGCACCGGCUAACUACGUG
RNAcentral lists this ribosomal RNA (482 nucleotides) under uncultured bacterium. RNAcentral describes it as "bacterial SSU rRNA". It matches the Rfam family "Bacterial small subunit ribosomal RNA", at positions 30 to 507 of the family's 1533-position model. The record is from RNAcentral.